AAAAAACCCACGGGACCAACACGCGAAAAAAUAAUUCACUAAGAGGAAAGAUUACAAGGUGAUUACCGACUCCACGGACUCGACUUCUUUUAAUCUCCUAUGAAUCUCGCGCAAUUAUCCGGGUUGUCUACGCCCUCACGUUCGAAUCCACGAACGCCUUGCCCACGUUCGAAUCCACGAACGCCACUCGAAUCCACGAGCUCACGAUCCGAAUCCACGAACUGCCUUCGUUCACGUCGAAUCCACGACGACGUCCAUGAAGAACAUCAU
RNAcentral lists this long non-coding RNA (270 nucleotides) under Ananas comosus (pineapple). Its description in RNAcentral is "long non-coding RNA (ACOM_LNC005415)". Lineage: Eukaryota; Viridiplantae; Streptophyta; Magnoliopsida; Poales; Bromeliaceae. The record is from RNAcentral.